AGUGUGUUGGCAGAGUAGUGCAAUUGAUUUAGGAUCAAUUUAUGGAAUUAAUACCACACACUA
RNAcentral lists this transfer RNA (63 nucleotides) under Metaphire megascolidioides. Its description in RNAcentral is "tRNA-Leu1". It matches the Rfam family "tRNA". Rfam says of the family: Transfer RNA (tRNA) molecules are approximately 80 nucleotides in length. The record is from RNAcentral. Lineage: Eukaryota; Metazoa; Annelida; Clitellata; Crassiclitellata; Megascolecidae.